CUUGUACUCCCUCCGUCCAAAAAUACUUUUCAUUGAAAUGGAUGUAUCUAGAUGUAUUUUAGACCUAGACACAUCCAUUUUGAUGACAAGUAAUUCCGGACGGAGGGAGUACUUG
Molecule: non-coding RNA, 115 nt
Organism: Triticum aestivum (bread wheat)
Lineage: Eukaryota; Viridiplantae; Streptophyta; Magnoliopsida; Poales; Poaceae
Source: Rfam